CCUACGGGAGGCUGCAGUGGGGAAUAUUGGACAAUGGGCGAAAGCCUGAUCCAGCCAUGCCGCGUGUGUGAAGAAGGCCUUCGGGUUGUAAAGCACUUUCAGUGGGGAAGAAAGCCUUGGGGCUAAUACCCUCGAGGAAGGACAUCACCCACAGAAGAAGCACCGGCUAACUCCGUGCCAAGCAGCCGCGGUAAUACGGAGGGUGCGAGCGUUAAUCGGAAUUACUGGGCGUAAAGCGCGCGUAGGCGGUCUGAUAAGCCGGUUGUGAAAGCCCCGGGCUCAACCUGGGAACGGCAUCCGGAACUGUCAGGCUAGAGUGCAGGAGAGGAAGGUAGAAUUCCCGGUGUAGCGGUGAAAUGCGUAGAGAUCGGGAGGAAUACCAGUGGCGAAGGCGGCCUUCUGGACUGACACUGACGCUGAGGUGCGAAAGCGUGGGUAGCAAACAGGAUUAGAUACCCCGGUAGUC
Molecule: ribosomal RNA, 466 nt
Filed under: Vreelandella stevensii
Lineage: Bacteria; Pseudomonadati; Pseudomonadota; Gammaproteobacteria; Oceanospirillales; Halomonadaceae
Description: partial 16S ribosomal RNA
Rfam family: Bacterial small subunit ribosomal RNA
Source: RNAcentral